AGCGAACGCUGGCGGCAGGCUUAACACAUGCAAGUCGAACGGGCGUAGCAAUACGUCAGUGGCAGACGGGUGAGUAACGCGUGGGAACGUACCUUUUGGUUCGGAACAACCCAGGGAAACUUGGGCUAAUACCGGAUAAGCCCUUACGGGGAAAGAUUUAUCGCCGAAAGAUCGGCCCGCGUCUGAUUAGCUAGUUGGUGAGGUAACGGCUCACCAAGGCGACGAUCAGUAGCUGGUCUGAGAGGANGAUCAGCCACAUUGGGACUGAGACACGGCCCAAACUCCUACGGGAGGCAGCAGUGGGGAAUAUUGGACAAUGGGCGCAAGCCUGAUCCAGCCAUGCCGCGUGAGUGAUGAAGGCCCUAGGGUUGUAAAGCUCUUUUGUGCGGGAAGAUAAUGACGGUACCGCAAGAAUAAGCCCCGGCUAACUUCGUGCCAGCCGCCGCUGUAAU
This 452-nucleotide ribosomal RNA is filed under the name uncultured bacterium. RNAcentral's name for it is "bacterial SSU rRNA". It matches the Rfam family "Bacterial small subunit ribosomal RNA", at positions 29 to 524 of the family's 1533-position model. The record is from RNAcentral.